RNAcentral lists this ribosomal RNA (498 nucleotides) under uncultured bacterium. RNAcentral describes it as "partial 16S ribosomal RNA". It matches the Rfam family "Bacterial small subunit ribosomal RNA", at positions 30 to 523 of the family's 1533-position model. The record is from RNAcentral.
AUUGAACGCUGGCGGCAUGCCUUACACAUGCAAGUCGAACGGUAACAGGUCUUCGGAUGCUGACGAGUGGCGAACGGGUGAGUAAUACAUCGGAACGUGCCCGAUCGUGGGGGAUAACGAAGCGAAAGCUUUGCUAAUACCGCAUAAGAUCUAAGGAUGAAAGCAGGGGACCGCAAGGCCUUGCGCGAACGGAGCGGCCGAUGGCAGAUUAGGGAGAUGGUGGGAUAAAAGCUUACCAAGCCGGCGAUCUGUAGCUGGUCUGAGAGGACGACCAGCCACAGUGGGGCUGAGACACGGCCCAGACUCCUACGGGAGGCAGCAGUGGGGAAUUUUGGACAAUGGGCGAAAGCCUGAUCCAGCCAUGCCGCGUGCAGGAUGAAGGCCUUCGGGUUGUAAACUGCUUUUGUACGGAGCGAAAAGACUCUUUCUAAUAGAGAGGGUCCAUGACGGUACCGUAAGAAUAAGCACCGGCUAACUACGUGCCAGCAGCCGCAGUAA